GUUGGUCUGAUUAAACUGAGACCAUUCUCUGACUUCCUAAGCUCUCAGACAACUUAGGAACCAAUACACACUGCACAUGUCUCUUUCUGAAAUGUUCUCCGCCUUAGUUUUUAUGAGAGAGUGAAAGCACAGUUCUGUAAUAUAUGAAGAAAUCUGUGGAUUCUGUAGAGACAGGAACAGCGUGACAUAAAUCUCAGGAAGGCAUCUUAUUUCACAAAUUUCCCAUUUGAUUCCUGCUAUUGUGUGAGGCUGGGCUCUUCAUCUCUAUCAAAAUCAGUCUGGAAGCCUUCUGAGAUUGCCUCUAGAAAAGCCAAUACUCCCGCGGAUUGGACCACAGAUGCUAUAACCAAACUGAGAAUCAGAAACGCUAAGUAACUUGCCCAAGAAUGCAUAGUAAUAAAAGCCUACUUACCUGUGGUGACCCUGGAUUCUGUACAACUGAUUUGUUGAUACAGAAGAGAGUCAUGCAAACUACAGAAAUCCACCCAAAACCGAGAGAAGGAGAGUAUCUGUUUUCAGAGGAGCUGUCUGCUUUGGGAGGAAGUUCCAGAAGUGAGCCUCAGGAAUUACAACAUUAAUUGAGAAACUGAAUGAUUAAAAUUGUAGUAACAAAUAGCUUUCCUUGGAACUGUCCCAGAAUCUAUUAUUUUUUUUUCCUUUUCUGUCAUUAACAAAAACACCAACAAAAAUCAUCAUGUGUGAAAGAGGUACUAUAAUAAAAACCCUAGCAGUGUCUACUGCGUGCUUCGUGCAAGGUAUCCAUGAUGGUCUUAACUCACCACAGAAGAACUUGGGGGAGUGUGGUCAAUGCCAGGGGUUCACGGGGAAAAAUGAAGUUGUCCACAGGUUGACCUCCUUUUUGCACCACUGGGAAUUACUCUUUGCAUAAGAAAAUACUGCCUAUUGGAAAUGGGAGGUGAAAUUACACAUUGGACAAAUGGGGCAGAAAUUGACCCAGAGGUUUUUAUUUUUCUGUGUUGCUCCUUGUCCCUAAAUACACUGAAAAUUCUUGACAUUCAUACAGUAUUUUCUCUUUCAUCCAAGCACCCAGUUCACUGGUGAUGCACAGGAAAGAAUUGUUGAUGUUCUUUGGGCUUGUGUGGGAACUAAGGUGAUAGAUACUUGUAUUUAAUGAAUGAUGAGUCUGUGGCAAAUGCCUUGGAAAGUGCUACAUAUACAUCACCUAUUUAAUCCUCAGAACCAUUCUCUGGGGUCAAAAUUAUUGGUCCCAAUUUACAGCUGGGAAUGUCG
Molecule: long non-coding RNA, 1251 nt
Filed under: Homo sapiens (human)
Lineage: Eukaryota; Metazoa; Chordata; Mammalia; Primates; Hominidae
Description: HSALNT0028627
Source: RNAcentral